GCAACAGCACAUGAUGGAGACGAUGAUGAGGAGGAGACCAUCUCUCUGGAUUCCAGAAGGCAUGAGGACCCAGAUGCUAUACAGUGGGAAAACCAGCCUGGCAACAUAAGCUCACAAGCUAUCAGAAAGUUGUAUGGCAACCACCUCCGGCGCCAAAUAGAACUGGCAGACAUAGACAUUCAGUACAAGAAGAAAAAGAUGGAAAAUCUUGCACUGGAGUCCGAAAUAAAAAAGAGGACAAUUAGGAAACUGGACCUUGAAAUAAAAAAACUUGAGAGGGAGCUCCAAGAAGAUGACACAGCUCAAAAUACAAAUUAGGUAUAUUCUCGUAAAGUCAAGUGAGCCAUGACAUAUGAGCUCUUAUUGUGAGCACACAGGACGGUGGCAUCUUUCUAAGGUUUUUUUUAUUUUCCCAGCAAUCAGUACAACCAAGUCAUCGUUAUAAGGCAUCGCCCUCUUUUGCCCACCCC
RNAcentral lists this long non-coding RNA (470 nucleotides) under Salmo salar (Atlantic salmon). Its description in RNAcentral is "lncRNA (ENSSSAG00000100492.1)". The record is from RNAcentral. Lineage: Eukaryota; Metazoa; Chordata; Actinopteri; Salmoniformes; Salmonidae.